This 1079-nucleotide long non-coding RNA is filed under the name Anas platyrhynchos platyrhynchos (common mallard). RNAcentral describes it as "lncRNA (ENSAPLG00000022969.1)". The record is from RNAcentral. Lineage: Eukaryota; Metazoa; Chordata; Aves; Anseriformes; Anatidae.
GGGGGGGGGGGGGGGGGGGGUGUCGCUCCUCCUGCCCUCGUAGGAUGAGGGGAGAGGAAGGAGGGAGGGAGCCGCGUGCUGUGGCGCUGCUCGCUGUCCUCGCCUCGCCCGGGAGCGGAGCCGCCGGACCAGCGGAGGUAACGCGGGGCUGGCCCCGGGGGGGCCCCAAAACGCGGCCCCCGGGCGUGCUGAGAGCCCCUUCGGGCCCGGGAAGGGGGAAACAAAGCGCAGCCCGCUGCUGGUUAGGUGAAAAUGGGGGAAAAUCUGUAAAAAUAGGGGGUGAGGAGCGCGGCGGGCCGCCCGCCUCAUGGCUCGCCGCGAGCCCGGGCGCUCUCGGGUCGAGCCGCGGCCUUGCGAGGAGGAGCGGCUUUCGGGGCAAAAAGCGGCGAUUUUAGCAAAAAAACGUGUCCGGCUUUCACACAGGGGGCUGGUAGGGAGGGUAACCGGCCGGGCCAGGAGAGCCUGAGGUGGCACGGGAACCAGGCAGACAUACAGCGGGCGCAACGAGCCCUCGGGCCUCCCCGCUGUAAUUUGGGGCCAAAUCGGGUUGAAUCCGUGUUUUCUGGGCCCGCAGCUUUGUGCUGGGCACCCAGCUGGCCGCAGCCGCCCCUCUGCCUCCCUGCGCGGACAGAGGAGGGCAGGGAGAGGAGCUAAAACCUCGCCGCUUUCCCUCGCUUCUUCCCAGUCACCUCACAAAGAGGGAUUAACAACUGGGUUUAUACAGCAGGAGCCCAGCUCCCGUGCCUUUUGGUGUACAAUCAUCAAAUACCCUAAAAAAAAAAAAACCCAAACCUUAAAAUCCUACUCUAGUGCGGUCUAUAAUCGAGGGUAGAAGCGCUCCCCGGCGCAGAUCUCCCUGAAGCAGCAGCACCCGAUGUGCUGUGCCCGAUGGGUUCAUCUCCAGCUUCCCUCGCUUUUAAAUUACAAAAUGUCUGGAUGUCUCCCUUUCCCCGGCUUUUGCAACAAUAACCAUGCUCUGCCUCGGCUUUACCACAGACAAACACUUGAAAUAAGUGAGAUGGCAAUGAAAUCAUUUACCGCCUAAUAAAGAUUAAAAAAAAAUAAAGCGACUGGAGUCU